This 484-nucleotide ribosomal RNA is filed under the name uncultured bacterium. Its description in RNAcentral is "bacterial SSU rRNA". It matches the Rfam family "Bacterial small subunit ribosomal RNA", at positions 28 to 512 of the family's 1533-position model. The record is from RNAcentral.
GAUGAACGCUAGCGGCAGGCUUAACACAUGCAAGUCGAGGGGUAUAGUUCUUCGGAACUAGAGACCGGCGCACGGGUGCGUAACGCGUAUGCAAUCUACCUUUUGCAGAGGGAUAGCCCCAGAGAAAUUUGGAUUAAUACCUCAUAGUAUAGCAGUUUCGCAUGAAACCACUAUUAAAGUCACAACGGCAAAAGAUGAGCAUGCGUCCCAUUAGCUAGUUGGUAAGGUAACGGCUUACCAAGGCUACGAUGGGUAGGGGUCCUGAGAGGGAGAUCCCCCACACUGGUACUGAGACACGGACCAGACUCCUACGGGAGGCAGCAGUGAGGAAUAUUGGACAAUGGGCGCAAGCCUGAUCAGCCAUGCCGCGUGCAGGAUGACGGUCCUAUGGAUUGUAAACUGCUUUUUGUACAGGAAGAAACACUCCUCGUGGGGGAGCUUGACGGUACUGUAAGAAUAAGGAUCGGGCUAACUCCGUGCCAGC